CAGAGUUCAUGCCCUCACGGGUAGAUCUCCCACCCUUGUGUAUUUAUACCUUUGUUGCUUUGGCAGGCCGCUGGGCUUUGGCCCGGCCACCGGCUGUGAGGCUGGUGCGUGCCUGCCGGAGGAUCUCCAAACUCUGGUUAUCAGUGUUGUCUGAGUAUUAUACAAUCGUUA
This 171-nucleotide unclassified non-coding RNA is filed under the name uncultured fungus. Its description in RNAcentral is "sequence contains ITS1, 5.8S rRNA gene". RNAcentral also lists the same sequence under 1 other name. The record is from RNAcentral. Lineage: Eukaryota; Fungi.